UACGAAGGGGGCUAGCGUUGUUCGGAAUCACUGGGCGUAAAGCGCACGCAGGCGGGUCGUUAAGUCAGGGGUGAAAUCCUGGAGCUCAACUCCAGAACUGCCUUUGAUACUGAGAAGCUUGAGUCCGGGAGAGGUGAGUGGAACUGCGAGUGUAGAGGUGAAAUUCAUAGAUAUUCGCAAGAACACCAGUGGCGAAGGCGGCUCACUGGCCCGGUACUGACGCUGAGGUGCGAAAGCGUGGGGAGCAAACAGG
Molecule: ribosomal RNA, 253 nt
Filed under: uncultured bacterium
Lineage: Bacteria
Description: partial 16S ribosomal RNA
Rfam family: Bacterial small subunit ribosomal RNA
Source: RNAcentral